UCGAGGGGCAGCGAGAGUGAUAGCAAUAUUACUUGUCGGCGACCGGCGCACGGGUGCGUAACGCGUAUGCAACCUACCAUCAACAGGGGGAUAACACUGAGAAAUUGGUACUAAUACCCCAUAAUAUCUCAUGCGGCAUCGCAUGGGGUUGAAAACUCCGGUGGUUGAUGAUGGGCAUGCGUUGUAUUAGCUGGUUGGUGAGGUAACGGCUCACCAAGGCGACGAUACAUAGGGGGACUGAGAGGUUAACCCCCCACAUUGGUACUGAGACACGGACCAAACUCCUACGGGAGGCAGCAGUGAGGAAUAUUGGUCAAUGGACGCAAGUCUGAACCAGCCAUGCCGCGUGCAGGAUGACGGCUCUAUGAGUUGUAAACUGCUUUUGUACGAGGGUAAACCCCGAUACGUGUAUCGGGUUGAAAGUAUCGUACGAAUAAGGAUCGGCUAACUCCGUGCCAGCAGCCGCGGUAAUACGGAGGAUCCGAGCGUUAUCCGGAUUUAUUGGGUUUAAAGGGUGCGUAGGCGGUUUGAUAAGUUAGAGGUGAAGUGUCGGGGCUCAACCCCGAAACUGCCUCUAAUACUGUUGGACUAGAGAAUAGUUGCGGUAGGCGGAAUGUAUGGUGUAGCGGUGAAAUGCUUAGAGAUCAUACAGAACACCGAUUGCGAAGGCAGCUUACCAAACUAUAUCUGACGUUGAGGCACGAAAGCGUGGGUAGCAAACAGGAUUAGAUACCCUGGUAGUCCACGCAGUAAACGAUGA
RNAcentral lists this ribosomal RNA (760 nucleotides) under uncultured bacterium. Its description in RNAcentral is "bacterial SSU rRNA". It matches the Rfam family "Bacterial small subunit ribosomal RNA", at positions 62 to 812 of the family's 1533-position model. The record is from RNAcentral.